This 253-nucleotide ribosomal RNA is filed under the name uncultured bacterium. RNAcentral's name for it is "partial 16S ribosomal RNA". It matches the Rfam family "Bacterial small subunit ribosomal RNA", at positions 524 to 776 of the family's 1533-position model. The record is from RNAcentral.
UACGUAGGGGGCAAACGUUAUCCGGAGUUACUGGGCGUAAAGGGCGUGUAGGUGGUAGUGUAAGUCUGGCGUGAAAUUUUUCGGCUUAACCGGGAAAGGUCGUCGGAUACUGCACAACUAGAGGACGGUAGAGGCGUGUGGAAUUCCGGGUGUAGUGGUGAAAUGCGUAGAGAUCCGGAGGAACACCAGUGGCGAAGGCGACACGCUGGGCCGUACCUGACACUGAUGCGCGACAGCAUGGGGAGCAAACAGG